This 215-nucleotide ribosomal RNA is filed under the name uncultured Bacillus sp. RNAcentral describes it as "partial 16S ribosomal RNA". It matches the Rfam family "Bacterial small subunit ribosomal RNA", at positions 1168 to 1382 of the family's 1533-position model. The record is from RNAcentral. Lineage: Bacteria; Bacillati; Bacillota; Bacilli; Caryophanales; Bacillaceae.
GGAAGGUGGGAUGACGUCAAAUCAUCAUGCCCUUAUGUUCUGGGCUACACACGUGCUACAAUGGCCGGUACAGACGGACGCAAAGCCGCGAGGUGGAGCAAAUCCUAAAAAGCCGGUCUACAGUUCGGAUUGCAGGCUGCAAUUCGCCUGCAUGAAGUCGGAAUCGCUAGUAAUCGCAGGUCAGCAUACUGCGGUCGAAUACGUUCCCGGGCCUU